This 460-nucleotide ribosomal RNA is filed under the name uncultured bacterium. Its description in RNAcentral is "partial 16S ribosomal RNA". It matches the Rfam family "Bacterial small subunit ribosomal RNA", at positions 338 to 795 of the family's 1533-position model. The record is from RNAcentral.
CCUACGUGAGGCAGCAGUGAGGAAUAUUGGUCAAUGGCCGAGAGGCUGAACCAGCCAAGUCGCGUGAGGGAAGACGGCCCUACGGGUUGUAAACCUCUUUUGUCGGGGAGCAAAGCGAACCACGUGUGGUUCAUUGAGAGUACCCGAAGAAAAAGCAUCGGCUAACUACGUGCCAGCAGCCGCGGUAAUACGUAGGGGGCAAGCGUUAUCCGGCUUUACUGGGUGUAAAGGGAGCGUAGACGGGGAUGCAAGUCUGAAGUGAAAGGCGGGGGCCCAACCCCCGGACUGCUUUGGAAACUGGAUGGCUGGAGUGCAGGAGAGGUAAGUGGAAUUCCUAGUGUAGCGGUGAAAUGCGUAGAUAUUAGGAGGAACACCAGUGGCGAAGGCGGCUUACUGGACUGUAACUGACGUUGAGGCUCGAAAGCGUGGGGAGCAAACAGGAUUAGAUACCCUAGUAGUC